This is an RNA transcript of Zea mays, 2247 nucleotides long. It is a transcript of the gene named TPX2 (targeting protein for Xklp2) protein family, with no coding region annotated. The record is from RefSeq and is a predicted model, not a curated record. Lineage: Eukaryota; Viridiplantae; Streptophyta; Magnoliopsida; Poales; Poaceae. The transcript is spliced from 10 exons.
CACACCGCGACAGCAUUUAACUAGCGUGCGUCACCUCCCGUCCUACUGCUUCCUCUCGAGGCUCCGAGCCGCCCGUUAGUAGUGUAGACCUGCCUCCGCCUUCUCCUCGCCAACGCGCCACCGCAGUAAAGAGCGCGGAUUAAUUCCAGGGCGAGGGGGGAGACUCACCUCCAUUACGCUCCGUCCCCCUUCCCCGGCGUGCACCGUGCAGUAGGUAUCUGUGCAUUCCUGCCCUGCUGUGGUUGGCUAGGUAGGGGUGGUAACUGGUAAGAACAGCAAGAACCAACCAUGGCUGCUGAUGUUGGGCUUCGGUUCAACGGCUGGUCAUACUCGGAUUUGCCUUACAACGACCACAAUGCACAGGAUUCAUCAGUUCAGGAAAUGGUGCUCAACCAUGGCUCGGUGUCAUUCGGUAGAUUUGCUGCAGAAUCAUUGUCAUGGGAAAGAAGGUCAGUGUUUGAACAUAACAGACGCCAAGAGGAACUAAGCAAGCUCACAGCCCCUGGUUUGGUUGCACAAAAGAAGGCUUUCUUUGAAGAAUAUUACAAGAGGGCAAGACAUCUCAAGGCUCAGGGGGUAUUGCACCAGGCUGGAGCCGCAGUGGAGGAGAACGAUAGCAGCCAGGCAGAUGAAUUGCCAGCAGCUAUGUCUGAAGAUCCAGUAGCCACUGCUCCAAGUUCUAGUUUUGAGCCUUCCACUGAUGUUGAGAGCAAAUGCCAGGAUGCUCAUGAGCACGGGUACUUGACAUUUAAUCCUUUAUUUUCUCAGACAGCAAGCUUGCCAAACAUUCAGGAGGAGAGUUCUAGCUCUGGUCAAAAGCAUGGAUUCAGUUGUGAAACUAUUGAGAGAAAAGUUCUUGCACCAAGACGUGUGGCAUCAAAUGAUAAUGAUCAAAGCAAUAUUGCUGGAUCAAGGAUUGUCUUACCAAUAGUCAGUCUACAAUCAGAAUACCUCAAAGCUGAUCCUGAGAAGAGUGAGGCAAGCAAAAAUGUACCUAUUAUUAAUAGGUCAAAAAAGGUAUCAAAGGACCUGGCAACUUCUGUUAUCAGCAUCCCAAGGGUAGAUUUAAGAAGGAAUUCAGAAAACGGACCCUCUCGAGACUUGGAGGAUCCAUUCCACAAGAGAGUUGAGAUGAAAUUGCGUGCUUUAUCUGAUCGGAUGGAUGCUGACAGAACUACGGCCUCUAGUAGAUCAUCCUCUUACCAACCUCCUGAGAGAGCUAUGACCUCAGCUAGAUCUGCAUAUCAAGAUAGACUAGCAAUAUCUUCUAGAUCCAGUGUGUCUCAGAACACUAGUAAAGCCUUGGCACCUUCUAAAUUAGCUGCUCAAGCUUCCCAUAAAUUUCUUAAAGGUGUGCAGCGUUUAGAUGCCAUGCCCCGUGGUAUUUUCGUUAAUAAAGGAUCAAGUGCUUCUCUUGUUGCUUCUUGCAACAGUAGUGCAACUGGGAAGUUGUCUGCCAAGAUUUUGGUGGCACCCAGUUCGUCUCAAGUUGGUGCAAAGACUUCCAGGACUGCUCAGGUUACACCGAAAAGAGCAGCAGGACCUACCAGUGUAAACAAUGUGUCACACAAUAAAAGGAAGCACACACCGGUCGCAUUGGGUGAAAAAUACCCAAAGAGAGAGUAUGUGCGCAGAUCUGCACCUCCAAGUGCAAGAAGCAGCUCCGAGAAUCUCCCUCGUGCUGCAAAGGCGCCUAAGAUAUCAAAAGUGAUGAAUGCGGUGUCCAAGGCUGAAGCUGUGCAGAAGUCAAAAUCAUCAAGCAAUCUUGUUGGAGGAAGAAAUUUAUCGACAAAGCGCUCCGCAAACUGCAAUGAAGAAAACAGAAAGGCGAUCCCGUCGCGCAAGGUAAACAUGGCUGAAUGCACGAGGAGCAAUCUGAAAGGUGGCCCAUCACUGACUAAGAACAAGCCACGGUAGGUGAAGCCACUGACGAAUUAAUUGCUCAGCACAUCCAGCAUUAGCUUUAAGCUGCAAGAGAGGCCACGGUGGAGAUGAUUGCCAGGCGAGAGAAGCCACGAAUCCACCACGGUGAUUAUUAAAUAGUCUUGAGAAGCAUCGAUCACCUGGAGCCUCAAACGUGUACCUCUGGUUAGUUUUGCAACACGAAAUUGAGUGCCGGCCAUCAAAAGCAUACAGCACCAAGACUUGCCUUGUCUUGUAGCUGUAGCAUACAGUGGCUGGCUGUUUGUUCCCCUUGUUGUUGUAAUCCAACAACAGUCGCAAGAGAAUAUCUGGAUGUGCAAGGCA